This 446-nucleotide ribosomal RNA is filed under the name uncultured bacterium. Its description in RNAcentral is "bacterial SSU rRNA". It matches the Rfam family "Bacterial small subunit ribosomal RNA", at positions 958 to 1398 of the family's 1533-position model. The record is from RNAcentral.
AACGCGAAGAACCUUACCAAGGCUUGACAUACGCCGGAAAGCAUCAGAGAUGGUGCCCCCCUUGUGGUCGGUGUACAGGUGGUGCAUGGCUGUCGUCAGCUCGUGUCGUGAGAUGUUGGGUUAAGUCCCGCAACGAGCGCAACCCUUGUCCCGUGUUGCCAGCAGGCCCUUGUGGUGCUGGGGACUCACGGGAGACCGCCGGGGUCAACUCGGAGGAAGGUGGGGACGACGUCAAGUCAUCAUGCCCCUUAUGUCUUGGGCUGCACACGUGCUACAAUGGCCGGUACAAUGAGCUGCGAUACCGUGAGGUGGAGCGAAUCUCAAAAAGCCGGUCUCAGUUCGGAUUGGGGUCUGCAACUCGACCCCAUGAAGUCGGAGUUGCUAGUAAUCGCAGAUCAGCAGUGCUGCGGUGAAUACGUUCCCGGGCCUUGUACACACCGACGCAC